AUGAACGCUAGCGACAGGCCUAACACAUGCAAGUCGAGGGGCAGCACAAGGAGCAAUCUGAGGUGGCGACCGGCGCACGGGUGAGUAACACGUAUGCAACCUGCCUGUAAGCGGGGAAUAACCCGUUGAAAGACGGACUAAUACCGCAUAAUACUAAAUUACUGCAUGGUAAUUUAUUUAAACAUUUAUGGCUUACAGAUGGGCAUGCGCAUGAUUAGCUAGUUGGAGAGGUAACGGCUCCCCAAGGCAACGAUCAUUAGGGGUUCUGAGAGGAAGGUCCCCCACACUGGUACUGAGACACGGACCAGACUCCUACGGGAGGCAGCAGUGAGGAAUAUUGGUCAAUGGACGAGAGUCUGAACCAGCCAAGUCGCGUGCAGGAAGAAUGUCCUAUGGAUUGUAAACUGCUUUUGCAGGGGAGUAAAGUGCAUCACGUGUGAUGUUUUGUAUGUACUCUGCGAAUAAGGAUCGGCUAACUCCGUGCCAGCAGCUGC
RNAcentral lists this ribosomal RNA (494 nucleotides) under uncultured bacterium. Its description in RNAcentral is "bacterial SSU rRNA". It matches the Rfam family "Bacterial small subunit ribosomal RNA", at positions 29 to 518 of the family's 1533-position model. The record is from RNAcentral.